Molecule: transfer RNA, 76 nt
Filed under: Candidatus Cloacimonadota bacterium
Lineage: Bacteria; Pseudomonadati; Candidatus Cloacimonadota
Also listed under: 1 other name
Description: Candidatus Cloacimonetes bacterium (marine metagenome) tRNA-Lys
Rfam family: tRNA
About the family: Transfer RNA (tRNA) molecules are approximately 80 nucleotides in length. Their secondary structure includes four short double-helical elements and three loops (D, anti-codon, and T loops).
Source: RNAcentral
GCACCCAUAGCUCAGUUGGUAGAGCAGCUGACUCUUAAUCAGCGGGUCCUGGGUUCGAGUCCCCGUGGGUGUACCA